AUCCUGGUGGGCCCAUGGACUGCCCUAUUUGAUACCCCUCCUUAUAUAGUUUUUCACAAAAAAUUAAUAUCUGACUCACCUAACCUAAAAACUUGUUCCACUGUGCGGCGCGCGGAGAGGACCCGAGCCCCGGCAGCGGACCCGGACCCGGACCAACCCGUGGCCGCGACUCAGGGGCCAACGCCACUCCAGUUGUCCACCGCCGCACCGAGGGCGCGCAAGAAACCUCCUGCCUGAUCCCCCAUUCCCAAGCUCGACCCCCAAGUGACCCCCUCGCAAGCAACCCCCUAAUUUCCCGUUCCCUCUUCGUAAAUUUUAAGCAUGUCCCCUUAAUCGUGUUAAGUGAAGUGCCGAGUUUUUCGUGUCUCUAGGAUACUGCCCGGAUACUCGCCGGCUUUUUGAUAAACAUCGCAGAUGUAAGAUGUGGUGGCACUUGUUCCUGUUAGCACUUAUACCUUAUUCAUUAUGUCACACAAGACAACGAUCUCGCUACGUUGGAUCUCGCCCAGCCUUCAGAAGGGAUUUAGUUGAGUGGAAUCCUUGGCAAACCUAUGAUGCCCAAUAUUUUAAUUUAGCGAAAUCGAGGAGGCCGCAUUAUGGGGCUGACCUCCUUCCCCUGCGGUCUGCCGUAGAAAAAAAACCACCACCCAGUGAAAGAGGUCCAAAUGAUAACUUUCUACGGGAUGCAGUCGAAAAAGUACCUUACCCACCGAUUGACCGAUACUCCGGGUCUUUUUCGGGUAAUUCAUCAAGCUUUCAUUUUCUAUUCUUUAACAAAACACCAUAAUAUGUAUUUUUACCUACAAAGUAGAUACUGGUGAUUACUGUAUU
This 831-nucleotide long non-coding RNA is filed under the name Bemisia tabaci. RNAcentral's name for it is "lncRNA ENSSSA2NGG012833". Lineage: Eukaryota; Metazoa; Arthropoda; Insecta; Hemiptera; Aleyrodidae. The record is from RNAcentral.